GACGAACGCUGGCGGCGUGCUUAACACAUGCAAGUCGAGCGGUAAGGCCCUUUCGGGGGUACACGAGCGGCGAACGGGUGAGUAACACGUGGGUGACCUGCCCUCAGCUCUGGGAUAAGCCUGGGAAACCGGGUCUAAUACCGGAUAUGACUCCAUGACGCAUGUUGUGGGGUGGAAAGCCUUGUGCGGCUGAGGAUGGGCCCGCGGCCUAUCAGUC
Molecule: ribosomal RNA, 217 nt
Filed under: uncultured bacterium
Lineage: Bacteria
Description: partial 16S ribosomal RNA
Rfam family: Bacterial small subunit ribosomal RNA
Source: RNAcentral